RNAcentral lists this ribosomal RNA (490 nucleotides) under uncultured bacterium. RNAcentral's name for it is "partial 16S ribosomal RNA". It matches the Rfam family "Bacterial small subunit ribosomal RNA", at positions 30 to 507 of the family's 1533-position model. The record is from RNAcentral.
AUUGAACGCUGGCGGCAGGCCUAACACAUGCAAGUCGAACGGUAACAGGAAGAAGCUUGUCUUUUUGCUUACGAGUGGCGGACGGGAGUGUAAUGUCUGGGACACUGCCUGAUGGCUGGGGUUAAUUCCUGGAAACGGUAGCUAAUACCGCUUAACGUUGCAACCCCAUAGAGCGGGACCUUCGGGCCUCUUGCCUUCGGAUUUGCCCAGAUGGGAUUAGCUAGUAGGUGGGGUAACGGCUCACCUAGGCGACGAUCCCUAGCUGGUCUGAGAGGGUGACCGGCCACACUGGAACUGAGACACGGUCCAGACUCCUACGGGAGGCAGCAGUAGGGAAUAUUGCACAAUGGGCGCAAGCCUGAUGCAGCCAUGCCGCGUGUAUGAAGAAGGCCUUCGGGUUGUAAAAUACUUUCAGCGGGGAGGAAGGGAGGAAAGUUAAUACCUGUGCUCAUUGACGUUACCCGCAGAAGAAGCACCGGCUAACUCCGUG